Molecule: ribosomal RNA, 336 nt
Filed under: uncultured bacterium
Lineage: Bacteria
Description: bacterial SSU rRNA
Rfam family: Bacterial small subunit ribosomal RNA
Source: RNAcentral
AACGAACGCUGGCGGCAUGCCUAACACAUGCAAGUCGAACGAGACCUUCGGGUCUAGUGGCGCACGGGUGCGUAACGCGUGGGAACCUGCCUUUAGGUUCGGAAUAACUCAGAGAAAUUUGAGCUAAUACCGGAUAAUGUCUUCGGACCAAAGAUUUAUCGCCUUUAGAUGGGCCCGCGUUGGAUUAGCUAGUUGGUGGGGUAAAGGCCUACCAAGGCGACGAUCCAUAGCUGGUCUGAGAGGAUGAUCAGCCACACUGGGACUGAGACACGGCCCAGACUCCUACGGGAGGCAGCAGUGGGGAAUAUUGGACAAUGGGCGAAAGCCUGAUCCAGC